GUUUAUUUAAUAUAAUAAGUAUAUUUGACUUCCAAUCAUAAAGUUUGUUAAUACAAAAUAAACA
This 64-nucleotide transfer RNA is filed under the name Sorineuchora shanensis. RNAcentral's name for it is "tRNA-Gly". Lineage: Eukaryota; Metazoa; Arthropoda; Insecta; Blattodea; Pseudophyllodromiidae. The record is from RNAcentral.